UUAUUAUUGUUCUUGUUUAACGAUGAUAAAUAAUUACUAAGAUCAUAAGAGCCAUUUUACUGUGGGCAUAAAAAUUCUUUCGAGAGAUCUUAGUGAGAAAAGAAUGUUCCUAAUUGGCGUUUAAUCGCAGUGUACACGGCGUUAGUUAUUAUAUCUGAAAUUGAGGCGACUUUCAAGCAAGCGCUUAUAUCGAGCUACUCUCUUAUCAUAUCUCCCGCGAGGUGUCGACGUUAAGCGCUUUAGCUUAGAUUUCUCGAAUCGUUCCUGAUAACUUUUUCAUCGCGUCAUUAUUUUCAUCCGCAUUACGAACAAUCAUGCAGCGCGAGACAUUAGAGUGAUAACAACUGCGCUACGUGCAAGUAUGUACUUGAACGGCAGUUUUUCUUCUGUCGUAGCAUAACGCACAUGCCGCAUAUUUCAAUUUUAAUGUCUCGCUUUAACGGAAAAAUUACUGAAUAUGUGUUGCACAUUGCGCGAUAACGAAAGUAAUAUAUCGGCCCAUCCUAAAACUAAUGCGGUAUAAAAGCGGGUCUGAUCUGUUCUUUAACUCAAUACGGAAUGAUUCUUUUAUUGCCAAUUGAAAAAUUAAGAUUAAGUUGUAAAUAAUAAUGGAAGAUAUAUUUUAGAUAAAAAUUUCAAUGUCGAGCUUUUUGUCAUUUCGAAAAUGAUCUCUGAGAUAGCCACUAUUUACGGGAUAAUUCAAUACUUUGAAUACCGGAUCAAGUUUGAAACUAGUUUCGUUUUUGAAAGUAAGGUUUUACGCAUAUAUUUUUAAGAAUUUUUAUGUACGUAUGGUUUACACAGCUUCCUCUUUCAAGCUUAUUGUUAGAUCUAACUUAGAAGAUAUUUUACACAAGUCACUUAUUUUUAGAAAGAACUGUGAGUUGCAGAAAAUAAAAUUGGAAUAAAAAUAAGUAUUAACUUUCAAACAUAACGAAUGAAUGGAGAGAGAAGAAUUUUAAAGGAAUUUAGACGACAGCGCGUGAAAUAUUCCGAAAGCCAUGCUCUUUCCCUGCUAAUCCCUGUCCUUCGGUUUUUCUCAACGGAAUCUCGGUUCUAUAAAACGGACCGGUUUCAGACGCGCGAGGAAAAUAUGGGCCUUCUAUUUAUCACUGUGCUGACACACUAGAACCACCGGCGGUACAAUUACAGCAUCAGAUGUGUUUGCGCUGUCUGGCUUCGGAGUUGCCGUUUGGCAGAUCGAAAGUGAGGGGGCCGUCAGUAAGAUGGCGAACGCGGAAUCGGCGAAACAUAUUUCGGAACAGCACAUUUCGAGGCUGCGAGAUAAGGCCUGCGAGCCACAGAUGGGAUUUACAUAGUGCGGUACGAUAAUACGGCAGCACGUGAUCGCUGGCGUUAUCAUCGCCCGGUUGUUGAUCUACUGCGCGUAGUGCCUUCGGUCACGAUGAUUGCCGAGAACCAGGAAAUCGUACGGCAGACAUCGCGACGUAAGGGAAGAAUACCAAAGAGAGAGAGAAGAUUCGGUGGAGUUCACGACGCUUCUACCGUCCGGUUGUGAAGACAGAUAGUUUCGCGGAGCUUCGCAACUUCCACAAAUGUAUUGUAUUUACGUAGCGAGCUUUAUUGCGCCUGGGCUGCGCUUAAAAGACUUAAGCCGGACUGUGAAGCGACUUCAGUCGGGUUAACAGCGAGGCAAUAACAAAGUCUGUAAAUGAAAAUCGGCAGUUUACAUCAUUCCGCUUGUUAUUCCGCACUCGUUGGCGAAGUACGAACGCGGCGUUUCGCGGAAAUACUUGCACGCGCUGAUUCCGUCGACUUGGAAAUAUCCUUUUUACAUUGUUUCACGCGAGACUCUCCUGGGUGAUUUAAAUGCCGUGCUGUAAUUUGCAGCAAAAUUCUAAUGCGCCAAGUUCUUUCAACAGAGCGUCGCCCCCCCCGCCUGUUUUUUGGUCGAAAACUGCUCGGAUGGUCUUGGUCACACGGGAAUUUAGCGACACCGAAGCCGCGUGAGAAUUGGUUUGACUGGAGUAAAAAUUUACAAGCGGAAUAUCAUGUAUAGUUACACGUCCACGUGGCUGUAGCCGCGGAAACCUGGAGACGCAGCGACGCACUUGUUAAUUUGUGACUCGUCGCAUACGCGGUAUGCAAAUUUGUUGAGAUCCUAAUAAAUCAAAUAUCCCAGCGAAGCGAUAAUUUGGCGUACGUCAGGCGUAGUUAGUUGAGACCAGCGUAUAAAUUAUCAUAAUAAAUAUCUUACACCCGAAA
Molecule: long non-coding RNA, 2226 nt
Organism: Vollenhovia emeryi
Lineage: Eukaryota; Metazoa; Arthropoda; Insecta; Hymenoptera; Formicidae
Exons: 2
Source: RefSeq, a predicted model, not a curated record